Molecule: long non-coding RNA, 462 nt
Filed under: Ananas comosus (pineapple)
Lineage: Eukaryota; Viridiplantae; Streptophyta; Magnoliopsida; Poales; Bromeliaceae
Description: long non-coding RNA (ACOM_LNC044725)
Source: RNAcentral
AAAUAUAGUAUAGUUAAAAAUAAAUAUAGUUAAAAAUACAGCCAUAUUUAAUUCGAUUUAGUAGAAAGUAUCGUAACUAUAAAUAAUUUGUUUGGUUGAAUACGGUUGAGAAAUGUAUUUUUAGAAUUUUAUUAUUUUAUAUAUAUAACGGUGAGAUUACCUCCAAUGUGAAAAAAGGAAAUAAUUUUUGUUUAAAAAAUAUUGAAGAGGUAAGCAUACAUUUUAUUUAAAGUUACUCUCUCUAACUGCUAUAGUUGGAACUACGGCCAAUUUGGGCGUAGUUCGAAUUGUUGCAGUUGGGCCUCCUCCUGCAGUUCCUACUGCAGUAGUUGGAGUUAACUACAUCAUACCAAACACGAAAUUUGCAUUUACAUGUAGUUACAACUGCAGUGUAGUUGCAACUACAUGCAACCAAACGACCCCUUAUUGAAAAUAGAGAAUUGGAUUCCUUGACAAGUAAAC